UGAAAUAUCGUGCUAUUGAUUUUUUCCAACUGUUUUACAAUGAUUCUGUGUUUGAACAGAUUAUCAGUGCGACGAAUGAGAAUGCAGCCUACAGGUGAACGAGCGAUCACAACAACAACAAAGAUCAAUCUGUGAUAUCUUCUCUGUGAUGUCAUUCUUAUAGGAGCUGUGGUUCAAUGUUCAGAUGUGCAUGAAGAGAAUUUACCUGUAACACCUGGGAUUA
Molecule: long non-coding RNA, 223 nt
Organism: Haliotis rufescens (red abalone)
Lineage: Eukaryota; Metazoa; Mollusca; Gastropoda; Lepetellida; Haliotidae
Exons: 3
Source: RefSeq, a predicted model, not a curated record